This 1028-nucleotide long non-coding RNA is filed under the name Sus scrofa (pig). RNAcentral describes it as "lncRNA (ENSSSCG00015026524.1)". Lineage: Eukaryota; Metazoa; Chordata; Mammalia; Artiodactyla; Suidae. The record is from RNAcentral.
AUGACUCCAUUUGGGGCCUGGUGUGUCUUUACACAGGUGUUUCUGUGCUCCUGGAAGCAGUUUUGCUCGCUCUCCAGGCCUCGUAUACAGGACUCAACCUGGGACUCGCCCUUGUCCCUCUCUUGUGUGGAUCCUCUUCUGCGCAACCCCCCUCUUUUUUUUUUUUUAUUUGGUUGGGUUGAGCUACAUCCUCAUGGGGUGCACACAUGCAAGAAAAACCAACUUCAUCUCGCCGAUCCCGUACUUACUUCAGUCGGGAACAGCUUCGGGUGCUAACUGAUACCUUUGAAAAGACCAGGUACCCCAACUGGUUCAUCGUAAACACGCUUUCUUCAAAUAUUCAUCUUGAUGAGUCAGUUAUAAAGGUAUGUCCCCGCGUCUGUCACUAGAUAGUACACCCGACCCAGAGUUUCACAUACUUUUAGUCAUCGUAUAAUUCUGGUUGCUUGAAAAAUUGCUGCCAGGACAGAUGUCAAACAUAUUAUCUCUUUGUUCUAAACACCACUCCUUUUACUGAGAAACGCUAAGGCUCAGAGAGAGGAAUUGUCUUCCAAAAGUUAUAAACAUAGGAACUAGGAGUUGAAGCCAGGCUUUGCUGUCUUCAGACCCACAAUGCUAUGUGAGAUCCUUUGGUGACGGAUUUCAGAUACUCCCACUUGGGGAGCUCCUGUUGUGGCUCAGUGGUAAUGAACCUGACUGGUAUCCAUGAGGACUCAGGUUCCAUCCCUGGCCUCCCUCAGUGGGUUAAGGUUCUGGUGUGGUGGAGAGCUGUGGGGCAGGUCGCAGAUGUGGCUNCGGAGAGCUGUGGGGCAGGUCGCAGAUAUGGCUUGGAUCCCAAGUUGUGGCUGUGGUGUGUCCUAAAAAGGAAAAAAAAAAGAAAGAAAAAAACCCAGAUAUUCCCAUUUGGGUCUUUUCCUGGUUAUUUCUAGGUUCUCCUCCCCUCAACCCCUUUUCUCUUUCUUUUCUGGCUGCCCUGCAGUAUAUGGAAUUCCUAGGCCAGGGAUCAGAUCCAAGCUGCAGUUGUGACC